AGGAUGAACGCUGGCGGCGUGCCUAAUACAUGCAAGUCGAGCGCCCCUUUAAGAGGUGACAAUCAAUGAUUGUCGGUUCCUAUGGGGAGCGGCGGACGGCUGAGUAACACGUGGGAACAUGCCCCAAAGUGAGGGAUAACGCACCGAAAGGUGUGCUAAUACCGCAUAUGAUCUUCGGAUUAAAGCUUUAUGCGCUUUGGGAGUGGCCUGCGUCCUAUUAGAUAGUUGGUGAGGUAAAGGCUCACCAAGUCAACGAUGGGUAGCUGGUCUGAGAGGAUGACCAGCCAGACUGGAACUGAGACACGGUCCAGACUCCUACGGG
This 322-nucleotide ribosomal RNA is filed under the name uncultured soil bacterium. Its description in RNAcentral is "bacterial SSU rRNA". It matches the Rfam family "Bacterial small subunit ribosomal RNA", at positions 26 to 345 of the family's 1533-position model. The record is from RNAcentral.